GCUGGGCAUGAUGGCUCAUGCCUGUAAUCCCAGCAUUUUGGGAGGCCGAGGUGGGCGGAUCACCUGAGGUCAGGAGUUUGAGACCAGCCUGGCCAACAUGGUGAAACCCCAUCUCUA
This 117-nucleotide non-coding RNA is filed under the name Nomascus leucogenys (northern white-cheeked gibbon). The record is from Rfam by way of RNAcentral. Lineage: Eukaryota; Metazoa; Chordata; Mammalia; Primates; Hylobatidae.